Molecule: non-coding RNA, 69 nt
Organism: Rattus norvegicus (Norway rat)
Lineage: Eukaryota; Metazoa; Chordata; Mammalia; Rodentia; Muridae
Source: Rfam
GGGGAUUUAGCUCAGUGAUAGAGCGCUUGCCUAGCAAGCACAAGGCCCUGGGUUCGGUCCCCAGCUCCA